AGCUACCACAUCCAAGGAAGGCAGCAGGCGCGCAAAUUACCCACUCCCGAAACGGGGAGGUAGUGACGAUAAAUAACGAUGCGGGACUCAAUCGAGGCCCCGUAAUUGGAAUGAGUACACUUUAAAUCCUUUAACGAGGAUCAAUUGGAGGGCAAGUCUGGUGCCAGCAGCCGCGGUAAUUCCAGCUCCAAUAGCGUAUAUUAAAGUUGUUGCAGUUAAAAAGCUCGUAGUUGGAUCUCAGGAUUUGGAUGGAUGGUUCGCUUUCGGGCGCUACUAUCUGUCUGACCUACUCUAGUCGUGGAUGCCUUGGGUGCUCUUAAUUGAGUGCUUUUGGUGCCCGACGCAAUUACUUUGAAAAAAUUAGAGUGCUCAAAGCAGGCGUAUUGCCUGAAUAGUGUUGCAUGGAAUAAUGAAAUAGGAGUUUACUUCUAUUUUGUUGGUUUUCGGAGGUGAACUAAUGAUUAACAGGGACAGACGGGGGCAUUUGUAUGGAGGGGUUAGAGGUGAAAUUCUUGGAUCCUCUCCAGACAAACUACUGCGAAAGCAUUUGCCAGGAAUGUUUUCACUAAUCAAGAACGAAAGUCAGAGGUUCGAAGACGAUCAGAUACCGUCCUAGUUCUGACCAUAAAUGAUGCCAUCUAACAAUCCACGAAGUUUGCUUGUACGAACUCGUGGGCGGUCCCCGGGAAACCAAAGAUUUUGGGUUCCGGGGGAAGUAUGGUUGCAAAGCUGAAACUUAAAGGAAUUGACGGAAGGGCACCACCAGGAGUGGAGCCUGCGGCUUAAUUUGACUCAACACGGGAAACCUCACCCGGCCCGGACACUUUUAGGAUUGACAGAUUGAAGGCUCUUUCUUGAUCAAGUGGUUGGUGGUGCAUGGCCGUUCUUAGUUGGUGGAGCGAUUUGUCUGGUUAAUUCCGAUAACGAACGAGACUCUACUCUGCUAAAUAGAACGUUGAUAUAUAAAAGUCAGUGCUGACUUCUUAGAGAGACUAACGGCGUUUAGCCGUGUGAGAAAGAGCAAUAACAGGUCUGUGAUGCCCUUAGAUGUCCGGGGCCGCACGCGCGCUCACUGACUGCAGCAACUAGUAUGCUCCUGGUUUGAAAAAACUGGGUAACCUGGUUGAAUUGCAGGCGUGACAGGGACCAGAGUUUGCAAUUAUCCUCUGUGAACGAGGAAUUCCCAGUAAGCGCAAGUCAUUAGCUUGUGCUGAUUACGUUCCUGCCCUUUGUACACACCGCCCGUCGCUACUACC
RNAcentral lists this ribosomal RNA (1256 nucleotides) under metagenome. RNAcentral's name for it is "SSU rRNA". It matches the Rfam family "Eukaryotic small subunit ribosomal RNA", at positions 405 to 1686 of the family's 1831-position model. The record is from RNAcentral.